RNAcentral lists this ribosomal RNA (466 nucleotides) under uncultured bacterium. RNAcentral describes it as "partial 16S ribosomal RNA". It matches the Rfam family "Bacterial small subunit ribosomal RNA", at positions 28 to 507 of the family's 1533-position model. The record is from RNAcentral.
GACGAACGCUGGCGGCGUGCUUAACACAUGCAAGUCGAACGGAAAGGCCCUGCUUGCAGGGUACUCGAGUGGCGAACGGGUGAGUAACACGUGGGUGAUCUGCCCUGCACUUCGGGAUAAGCUUGGGAAACUGGGUCUAAUACCGGAUAGGAGCCAUCUUUAGUGUGGUGGUUGGAAAGUUUUUUCGGUGUAGGAUGAGCUCGCGGCCUAUCAGCUUGUUGGUGGGGUAAUGGCCUACCAAGGCGGCGACGGGUAGCCGGCCUGAGAGGGUGUACGGCCACAUUGGGACUGAGAUACGGCCCAGACUCCUACGGGAGGCAGCAGUGGGGAAUAUUGCACAAUGGGCGCAAGCCUGAUGCAGCGACGCCGCGUGGGGGAUGAAGGCAUUCGGGUUGUAAACUCCUUUCGCUAGGGACGAAGCUUUUUUGUGACGGUACCUAGAUAAGAAGCACCGGCUAACUACGUG